RNAcentral lists this ribosomal RNA (552 nucleotides) under Dothideomycetes sp. RNAcentral's name for it is "eukaryotic LSU rRNA". The stretch from base 178 to 331 matches the Rfam family "5.8S ribosomal RNA". The record is from RNAcentral. Lineage: Eukaryota; Fungi; Ascomycota; Dothideomycetes.
AGUUAGGGUCCUAGUGGCCCAACCUCCAACCCUCUGUUGUUAAAACUACCUUGUUGCUUUGGCGGGACCGUUCGGUCUCCGAGCGCGUUAACCUCCGGGUUGGCGAGCGCCCGCCAGAGUCCAACCAAACUCUUGUAUUAAACCAGUCGUCUGAGUAUAAAAUUUUAAUUAAAUUAAAACUUUCAACAACGGAUCUCUUGGUUCUCGCAUCGAUGAAGAACGCAGCGAAAUGCGAUAAGUAAUGUGAAUUGCAGAAUUCAGUGAAUCAUCGAAUCUUUGAACGCACAUUGCGCCCCUUGGUAUUCCGAGGGGCAUGCCUGUUCGAGCGUCAUUACACCACUCAAGCACUGCUUGGUAUUGGGCAUCGUCCGUCGAAAGGCGGGCGUGCCUCGAAGACCUCGGCGGGGUUUCUCCAACUUCGGGCGUAGUAGAGUUAAAUCAAAACGUCUUAUAAGCUUGGUGAGAUCUCAUUGCCGUUAAACCUUUUAUUUUUUCAGGUUGACCUCGGAUCAGGUAGGGAUACCCGCUGAACUUAAGCAUAUCAAUAAGCGG